Molecule: microRNA precursor, 239 nt
Filed under: Citrus sinensis (sweet orange)
Lineage: Eukaryota; Viridiplantae; Streptophyta; Magnoliopsida; Sapindales; Rutaceae
Description: miR164a stem-loop (csi-MIR164a)
Gene: csi-MIR164a
Rfam family: MIR164 microRNA precursor family (bases 4-191)
Source: miRBase by way of RNAcentral
GUGUAGAGCAAGAUGGAGAAGCAGGGCACGUGCAUUACUAACUCAACCGCACAUACAUCUACUAACAAAAAUUAAUUAAUCCACACAUUUUGAAGAAACCAAAUCAAGAAGCAGCAUGCUCUUUCUGUUGUUAUAGCUCAGUCAUGAGUUGAGUUAUUUCUUCAUGUGCCCUUCUUCCCCAUCAUGACCGCGGCACCUUGUGUGUGUGUGUGUAUCAUCAGGGAUCAGCUCAAGAUCUG